CCUGGCUCACUCUUGCUUCAGAA
Molecule: microRNA, 23 nt
Filed under: Callorhinchus milii (elephant shark)
Lineage: Eukaryota; Metazoa; Chordata; Chondrichthyes; Chimaeriformes; Callorhinchidae
Description: eshark_mir-149_1
Source: RNAcentral